RNAcentral lists this ribosomal RNA (1356 nucleotides) under uncultured marine eukaryote. RNAcentral describes it as "SSU rRNA". It matches the Rfam family "Eukaryotic small subunit ribosomal RNA", at positions 411 to 1779 of the family's 1831-position model. The record is from RNAcentral.
CACUUCUAAGGAAGGCAGCAGGCGCGCAAAUUACCCAAUCCUGACUCAGGGAGGUAGUGACAAGAAAUAACAAUAAACCGGCUUAUGCCGGUUUAAUUGGAAUGAGUACAAUUUAAACAUCUUAACGAGGAACAAUUGGAGGGCAAGUCUGGUGCCAGCAGCCGCGGUAAUUCCAGCUCCAAUAGCGUAUACUAAAGUUGUUGCAGUUAAAAAGCUCGUAGUUGGAUUUCUGUGGGGACGGAGCGGCCGGCCGCAACACGCGGUUCGAGCUAGCGCUUUCCCUACAUCCUGCCGCGAACCGUGCUACCAUUAAUUUGGUGGCGCCGGGGAUCGGCUCGAUUACUUUGAGAAAAAUAGAGUGUUCAAAGCAGGCCACAUGCCUUGAAUAAGUUAGCAUGGAAUAAUAACUAAGGACUUCGGUUCUAUUUUGUUGGUGUUCGGGACUGAAGUAAUGAUUGAUAGGGACAGUUGGGGCGGUCUGUAUUCCAAAGCGAGAGGUGAAAUUCUUAGACCUUCGGAAGACAAACAGCUGCAAAAGCGUUCCGCAAGGAUGUUCCCUUUGAUCAAGAACGAAAGUUGGGGGAUCGAAGACGAUCAGAUACCGUCGUAGUCUCAACUAUAAACUAUACCAGCUAGGGAUCGGCCAACGUUAUUUCAAACCGACUUGGUCGGCACCUUAUGAGAAAUCAAAGCAUCUGGGUUCCGGGGGGAGUAUGGUCGCAAGGCUGAAACUUAAAGGAAUUGACGGAAGGGCACCACCAGCCGUGGAGCCUGUGGCUUAAUUUGACUCAACACGGGAAAACUUACCAGGUCCAGACAUAGUAAGGAUUGACAGAUUGAUAGCUCUUUCUUGAUUCUGUGGGUGGUGGUGCAUGGCCGUUCUUAGUUGGUGGAGUGAUUUGUCUGGUUAAUUCCGUUAACGAACGAGACCCCAGCCUGCUAAAUAGCGCGCGUGAGCUUUGCUCGCGGCGAGCUUCUUAGAGGGACUCUGAUGCGCGAUAGCACAUGGAAGUUUGGGGCAAUAACAGGUCUGUGAUGCCCUUAGAUGUUCUGGGCCGCACACGGGCUACACUGGCGCCUGCAUCGAGCAUAUCAGCUGGCCCGAGAGGGUCUUGGCUAAUCUUCUGAACCGGCGCCGUGCUUGGGAUUGACCUUUGCAAUUGUUGGUCAUGCAACGAGGAAUGCCUUGUAAACGCGAGUCAUCAGCUCGCAUUGAAUAUGUCCCUGCCCUUUGUACACACCGCCCGUCGCUCCUACCGAUGAAUGUUCCGAUGAAAUUUUCGGAGAGCACCUGUGAACUUGGCUCUGCCUUGCGAACGGGAGGCUCAAAGUCACUUAAAUCUGAACAUUUCGAGG